UUCGCAAUGCCCGAAAGGGUGACGAAGCGACGCCGCGUGUGGGAAGAAGGCCUUCGGGUUGUAAACCACUGUCAGGAGUUAGGAAGUGUAGUGGUGCGAAUAGCGCUACUACUUGACUAAGGCUCCAGAGGAAGCCACGGCUAACUCUGUGCCAGCAGCCGCGGUAAUACAGAGGUGGCAAGCGUUGUUCGGAAUUAUUGGGCGUAAAGAGCACGUAGGCGGUUCUGCAAGUCGGCUGUGAAAGCCUUCCGCUCAACGGAAGAACAGCAGUUGAUACUACAGGACUCGAGUGCGGGAGGGGAGAGUGGAACUUCUGGUGGAGCGGUGAAAUGCGUAGAUAUCAGAAGGAACGCCGGCGGCGAAAGCGACUCUCUGGCCCGUAACUGACGCUGAGUGUGCGAAAGCUAGGGGAGCAAACGGGAUUAGAUACCCCGGUAGUCCUAGCCGUAAACGAUGGGCACUAAGUAGAGGGGUUUU
This 477-nucleotide ribosomal RNA is filed under the name uncultured anaerobic ammonium-oxidizing bacterium. RNAcentral describes it as "bacterial SSU rRNA". It matches the Rfam family "Bacterial small subunit ribosomal RNA", at positions 365 to 832 of the family's 1533-position model. The record is from RNAcentral.